AGUCACUGACAUUAGAUACCCGCGUAGUCCAGGGUGUAAACGCUGCAGACUUGGUGUUGGGAACCCUUCGGGGGUGCUCAGUGCCGGAGAGAAGUUGUUAAGUCUGCUACUUGGGGAGUACGUCCGCAAGGAUGAAACUUAAAGGAGUUGGCGGGGGAGCACCGCAACGGGAGGAGCGUGCGGUUUAAUUGGAUUCAACGCCGAAAAACUCACCAGCAGCGACUGUUACAUGAAAGUCAGGUUGAUGACCUUACUAGAUUUUCAG
Molecule: ribosomal RNA, 265 nt
Filed under: uncultured archaeon
Lineage: Archaea
Description: partial 16S ribosomal RNA
Rfam family: Archaeal small subunit ribosomal RNA
Source: RNAcentral